GUCUGUGGAAGCUGCGGGUGCAACGUGAUUCCCUGGCGGUUACACAACGCUGGAGAGCUGUGCUCGCCACUGCCAGCCGCUCCAGGGCUGACUUCUGAAGAAACAGAAAACAAACAGGACUUGGUGUUUUCCAAAGAGGUGCCUUGGUCAUGGUAUUUUACCACAGCAACAGAAAAGUAACUAAUACUCAUGAGGAACAAGAAUCCAAUCUUUGCUGGAAGACACAGAUAUGACUUUGUUUCUUAGGGAAACAAAGCCAGCCUCAAGGGCCUCUCAUGCACUCUGACUUAUAAGGGUCUGGUUGCUGUUGGCAGCUGGACUGAAAGAAGAAC
RNAcentral lists this long non-coding RNA (332 nucleotides) under Cricetulus griseus (Chinese hamster). RNAcentral's name for it is "lncRNA (ENSCGRG00015032226.1)". Lineage: Eukaryota; Metazoa; Chordata; Mammalia; Rodentia; Cricetidae. The record is from RNAcentral.